CGAGCCGACUGGGUAAUCGCGGCUGCAUGUAUCGGCCUUGUUAGGUGCUGACCUGCGUCGAGGAAAGUCCGGACUCCACAGAGCACGGUGGUUGCUAACGGCAACCCAGGGCGACCUGAGGGAACAGUGCAACAGAGAGUAGACCGCCUUCUUCCGGGAAGGUAAGGGUGAAAGGGUGCGGUAAGAGCGCACCGGCGACGUAGGUGACUACGCCGGCCAGGUAAACCCCACUGGGAGCAAGGCAAGAGGCCGCACCGCUUGGUGUGGCUGCGUGGGUUGGGCUGCUCGUCCAAUAACCCACGGGUAGCUGCUUGAGGCGCAUGGGCAACGAUGCGUCCAGAUAGAUGAUUACCACCCGCAAGGGAACAUAAUCCGGCUCAUAGGUUGGCUCGUUCG
Molecule: RNase P RNA, 396 nt
Filed under: Corynebacterium kalinowskii
Lineage: Bacteria; Bacillati; Actinomycetota; Actinomycetes; Mycobacteriales; Corynebacteriaceae
Description: Bacterial RNase P class A
Rfam family: Bacterial RNase P class A
About the family: Ribonuclease P (RNase P) is a ubiquitous endoribonuclease, found in archaea, bacteria and eukarya as well as chloroplasts and mitochondria. Its best characterised activity is the generation of mature 5'-ends of tRNAs by cleaving the 5'-leader elements of precursor-tRNAs.
Source: Rfam by way of RNAcentral